GGAGGACCGCCCUCGGGGCGCGGACGGGCUGUUUUCAGGUGAAUAAGAAAGUGACGGUACCUGAGGAAUCAGCCUCGGCUAACUCCGUGGGGGCGGCCGCGGUAAUACGGAGGAGGCAAGCGUUAUCCGGAAUGAUUGGGCGUAAAGCGUCCGCAGGUGGCUGUUCAAGUCUGCUGUUAAAUCCAGUAGCUUAACUACUGACAAGCAGUGGAAACUGAAGAGCUCGAGCGCGGUUGGGGCAGAGGGAAUUCCUGGUGUAUGCGGUGAAAUGCGUAGAGAUCAUGAAGAACACCGGUGGCGAAAGCGCUCUGCUGGGCCGCAACUGACACUCAGGGACGAAAGCUAGGGGAGCGAAUGGGAUUAGAUACCCCAGUA
This 375-nucleotide ribosomal RNA is filed under the name uncultured Lyngbya sp. RNAcentral's name for it is "bacterial SSU rRNA". It matches the Rfam family "Bacterial small subunit ribosomal RNA", at positions 406 to 792 of the family's 1533-position model. The record is from RNAcentral. Lineage: Bacteria; Bacillati; Cyanobacteriota; Cyanophyceae; Oscillatoriales; Microcoleaceae.